UACAGAGGGGGCAAGCGUUAUUCGGAAUUAUUGGGCGUAAAGGGCGCGUAGGCGGCUUUGCAAGUGACGGGUGAAAGCCCUCGGCUUAACCGAGGAACUGCCUGUCAGACUGUGAGGCUUGAGACCAGGAGAGGUGAGUGGAAUUCCCAGUGUAGCGGUGAAAUGCGUAGAUAUUGGGAGGAACACCAGUGGCGAAGGCGGCUCACUGGACUGGUACUGACACUGAGGCACGAAAGCGUGGGGAGCAAACAGG
This 253-nucleotide ribosomal RNA is filed under the name uncultured bacterium. RNAcentral describes it as "partial 16S ribosomal RNA". It matches the Rfam family "Bacterial small subunit ribosomal RNA", at positions 524 to 776 of the family's 1533-position model. The record is from RNAcentral.